This 254-nucleotide ribosomal RNA is filed under the name uncultured bacterium. Its description in RNAcentral is "partial 16S ribosomal RNA". It matches the Rfam family "Bacterial small subunit ribosomal RNA", at positions 524 to 776 of the family's 1533-position model. The record is from RNAcentral.
UACGUAGGGGGCGAGCGUUGUCCGGAUUCAUUGGGCGUAAAGAGCUCGUAGGCGGCUGAUUAAGUCAGGUGUGAAACCUCCAGGCUCAACCUGGAGUCGCCACCUGAUACUGGUCUGGCUAGAGUCCGGUAGGGGACCACGGAAUUCCUGGUGUAGCGGUGAAAUGCGCAGAUAUCAGGAAGAACACCCGUGGCGAAGGCGGCUCCCUGGGCCGAUACUGACGCUGAGGAGCGAAAGCGUGGGGAGCGAACAGG